GCUUUUCUGCUGACGAGUGGCGCACGGGUGCGUAACGCGUAUACAAUCUACCUUUUGCUGUGGGAUAGCCCAGGGAAACUUGGAUUAAUACCGCAUAGAAUAUAAGAUCGGCAUCGUUUUUAUAUUAAAGGUUACGGCAAAAGAUGAGUAUGCGUCCUAUUAGCUAGAUGGUGUGGUAACGGCACACCAUGGCUACGAUAGGUAGGGGCCCUGAGAGGGGGAUCCCCCACACUGGUACUGAGACACGGACCAGACUCCUACGGGAGGCAGCAGUGAGGAAUAUUGGGCAAUGGAGGCAACUCUGACCCAGCCAUGCCGCGUGCAGGAAGACUGCCCUAUGGGUUGUAAACUGCUUUUAUACGGGAAGAAACACCGCUACGUGUAGCGGCUUGACGGUACCGUAAGAAUAAGGAUCGGCUAACUCCGUGCCAGCAGCCGCGGUAAUACGGAGGAUCCAAGCGUUAUCCGGAAUCAUUGGGUUUAAAGGGUCCGUAGGUGGAUAAUUAAGUCAGAGGUGAAAUCCUGCAGCUCAACUGUAGAAUUGCCUUUGAUACUGGUUGUCUUGAGUCAUUGUGAAGUAGUUAGAAUAUGUAGUGUAGCGGUGAAAUGCAUAGAUAUUACAUAGAAUACCGAUUGCGAAGGCAGAUUAC
Molecule: ribosomal RNA, 650 nt
Filed under: Flaviramulus sp.
Lineage: Bacteria; Pseudomonadati; Bacteroidota; Flavobacteriia; Flavobacteriales; Flavobacteriaceae
Description: bacterial SSU rRNA
Rfam family: Bacterial small subunit ribosomal RNA
Source: RNAcentral